UGGGGAAUAUUGCGCAAUGGGCGAAAGCCUGACGCAGCGACGCCGCGUGAGGGAUGAAGGUUUUCGGAUCGUAAACCUCUGUCAGAAGGGAAGAAACCGCACUGUGCUAAUCAGCAGUGCCUUGACGGUACCUUCAAAGGAUGCACCGGCUAACUCCGUGCCAGCAGCCGCGGUAAUACGGAGGGUGCAAGCGUUAAUCGGAAUUACUGGGCGUAAAGCGCACGUAGGCUGCUUUGUAAGUCAGGGGUGAAAUCCCACGGCUCAACCGUGGAACUGCCUUUGAUACUGCUUAGCUUGAAUCCGGGAGAGGGUGGCGGAAUUCCAGGUGUAGGAGUGAAAUCCGUAGAUAUCUGGAGGAACAUCAGUGGCGAAGGCGGCCACCUGGACCGGUAUUGACGCUGAGGUGCGAAAGCGUGGGGAGCAAACAGG
Molecule: ribosomal RNA, 429 nt
Filed under: Fusobacteriota bacterium
Lineage: Bacteria; Fusobacteriati; Fusobacteriota
Description: Fusobacteria bacterium partial 16S ribosomal RNA
Rfam family: Bacterial small subunit ribosomal RNA
Source: RNAcentral